This 254-nucleotide ribosomal RNA is filed under the name uncultured bacterium. Its description in RNAcentral is "partial 16S ribosomal RNA". It matches the Rfam family "Bacterial small subunit ribosomal RNA", at positions 524 to 776 of the family's 1533-position model. The record is from RNAcentral.
CACGUAGGGGGCGAGCGUUGUCCGGAUUUACUGGGCGUAAAGAGCUCGUAGGCGGCUCGGUAAGUCAGGUGUGAAACCUCCAGGCUCAACCUGGAGACGCCACCUGAUACUGCCGUGGCUAGAGUCCGGUGGAGGAGCGUAGAAUUCCUGGUGUAGCGGUGAAAUGCGCAGAUAUCAGGAGGAAUACCAGCGGCGAAGGCGGCGCUCUGGGCCGGUACUGACGCUGAGGAGCGAAAGCGUGGGGAGCAAACAGG